RNAcentral lists this transfer RNA (64 nucleotides) under Augilodes binghami. RNAcentral's name for it is "tRNA-Glu". The record is from RNAcentral. Lineage: Eukaryota; Metazoa; Arthropoda; Insecta; Hemiptera; Caliscelidae.
AUUUAUAUAGUUUAAAAUAAAACAUUAUAUUUUCAAUAUAAAAAUAAAUAUUAUUUUAUAAAUU